This 638-nucleotide ribosomal RNA is filed under the name Calonarius dibaphus. RNAcentral describes it as "eukaryotic LSU rRNA". The stretch from base 261 to 414 matches the Rfam family "5.8S ribosomal RNA". The record is from RNAcentral. Lineage: Eukaryota; Fungi; Basidiomycota; Agaricomycetes; Agaricales; Cortinariaceae.
AGGAUCAUUAUUGAAAUAAAUUUGAUGAGUUGUUGCUGGUUCUCUAGGGAGCAUGUGCACACUUAUCAUUGUAUUUUUUCACCUGUGCACAUUUUGUAGACCUUGGGUAUCUCUCUGAUUGCUAGCUUUUUUAGUUAGCACUUAGGAUUGAGGAUUGACUUUAUGUCUCUUCUUACAUCUCCAGGUCUAUGUUUCUUCAAAUACCCCAAUGUAUGUUUUUAGAAUGUAAUUAUUAGGCCUUUGUGCCUAUAAGUCUAUACAACUUUCAGCAACGGAUCUCUUGGCUCUCGCAUCGAUGAAGAACGCAGCGAAAUGCGAUAAGUAAUGUGAAUUGCAGAAUUCAGUGAAUCAUCGAAUCUUUGAACGCACCUUGCGCUCCUUGGUAUUCCGAGGAGCAUGCCUGUUUGAGUGUCAUUAAUAUAUCAACCUCUUUGGUUGGAUCUGGGUUUGCUGGCCUCAUUGAKAUCAGCUCUCCUUAAAUGUAUUAGCAGACAACAUUUUGCCAAACGCUCAUUGGUGUGAUAAUUAUCUACGCUAUUGACGUGAAGCAUGUUUUGCUUAUAACUGUCCAUUGACUUGGACAAAUUUCUAUUUGUUAAUGUGACCUCAAAUCAGGUAGGACUACCCGCUGAACUUAA